UUUGAAAUAUGUAGCAACCCACUGAAAUGCAUCAACAAUGUUUAAGAUACUUCUUUACCAAUAAUGAGGAAAAAAAAUUGUAUUAAUUAACCCAAAUAUUUCCAGACAACCGUCAACAUACACUGAUAAAAGGGAUCAAAAAAUAGAAUAGCCAUUUAUAGUUGAAAUACAGAGAAUCCUUUUCUUAUCUCUCACAUACUGUAUUUGCAUAGUGAACAAAGAAUUAUUGAAUAAGUUUAUACAAUCAUGGAAAGGUCAACACAUUUUCUAGAAGUUCUCCUUAACUAUUUUGAUAUAAGCUAAGUUGCCAAUUGCCCAAACAAAAAGUGGAUUACCCUUAACAGAUUUAUUCUCAGCGAAAUGGGUAAAAUUAAGAUCAUCACACCAGGUAAGUUAUGCCAGAUAUUCUGAGUGUUUCAAGAAGUUUGUUUUCUCCACUCCUCGAAUCAUGUCUUAAAGAAUUUUAAAGAUAAACACUUCAGUAGAAGAGCACAGUACAAGUCCACCCAACCCUUCUACAUUCACUAUUAUAUUUGUCCCCUCUCCUAGUCAAGACUAUCUUUUCCCUCAUUUAUGUGAAACAAGACGAAAGAAUAAAUUCUCAUUCCCCUCUUCUGGUAACACAAAUGAAAAUGCCAAAAUUAAGCAGUAUUACGGAACACAACAAAAAGUUUGCAAUAAAAAAUAUAUUCCAUGCUCACCUUCUGUUAGUUUCACCAAUUCUUACUUGGGCUCCAUAUGAAAAAAUUUUCUUAACAGUUCCCUCCAGCAGUGUUCCCUCCUGAAGGUUUAACAUUU
Molecule: unclassified non-coding RNA, 798 nt
Filed under: Hevea brasiliensis (rubber tree)
Lineage: Eukaryota; Viridiplantae; Streptophyta; Magnoliopsida; Malpighiales; Euphorbiaceae
Source: RNAcentral